This 62-nucleotide transfer RNA is filed under the name Paratenetus tropicalis. RNAcentral's name for it is "tRNA-Leu". RNAcentral also lists the same sequence under 1 other name. Lineage: Eukaryota; Metazoa; Arthropoda; Insecta; Coleoptera; Tenebrionidae. The record is from RNAcentral.
AUUAUUUUGGCAGAUUAGUGCUUUUGAUUUAGAAUCAAAUAAUGUAGAUUUUACAAAUAAUA